Molecule: ribosomal RNA, 553 nt
Filed under: Salmonella enterica subsp. enterica serovar Infantis
Lineage: Bacteria; Pseudomonadati; Pseudomonadota; Gammaproteobacteria; Enterobacterales; Enterobacteriaceae
Also listed under: 1 other name
Description: bacterial SSU rRNA
Rfam family: Bacterial small subunit ribosomal RNA
Source: RNAcentral
AAAUUGAAGAGUUUGAUCAUGGCUCAGAUUGAACGCUGGCGGCAGGCCUAACACAUGCAAGUCGAACGGUAACAGGAAGCAGCUUGCUGCUUCGCUGACGAGUGGCGGACGGGUGAGUAAUGUCUGGGAAACUGCCUGAUGGAGGGGGAUAACUACUGGAAACGGUGGCUAAUACCGCAUAACGUCGCAAGACCAAAGAGGGGGACCUUCGGGCCUCUUGCCAUCAGAUGUGCCCAGAUGGGAUUAGCUUGUUGGUGAGGUAACGGCUCACCAAGGCGACGAUCCCUAGCUGGUCUGAGAGGAUGACCAGCCACACUGGAACUGAGACACGGUCCAGACUCCUACGGGAGGCAGCAGUGGGGAAUAUUGCACAAUGGGCGCAAGCCUGAUGCAGCCAUGCCGCGUGUAUGAAGAAGGCCUUCGGGUUGUAAAGUACUUUCAGCGGGGAGGAAGGUGUUGCGGUUAAUAACCGCAGCAAUUGACGUUACCCGCAGAAGAAGCACCGGCUAACUCCGUGCCAGCAGCCGCGGUAAUACGGAGGGUGCAAGCGUUA